This 529-nucleotide ribosomal RNA is filed under the name uncultured bacterium. RNAcentral describes it as "bacterial SSU rRNA". It matches the Rfam family "Bacterial small subunit ribosomal RNA", at positions 777 to 1304 of the family's 1533-position model. The record is from RNAcentral.
AAUAGAUACCCCGGUAGUCCACGCCGUAAACGAUGAGUGCUAAGUGUUAGAGGGUUUCCGCCCUUUAGUGCUGCAGCAAACGCAUUAAGCACUCCGCCUGGGGAGUACGGCCGCAAGGCUGAAACUCAAAGGAAUUGACGGGGGCCCGCACAAGCGGUGGAGCAUGUGGUUUAAUUCGAAGCAACGCGAAGAACCUUACCAGGUCUUGACAUCCUCUGACACUCCUAGAGAUAGGACGUUCCCCUUCGGGGGACAGAGUGACAGGUGGUGCAUGGUUGUCGUCAGCUCGUGUCGUGAGAUGUUGGGUUAAGUCCCGCAACGAGCGCAACCCUUGAUCUUAGUUGCCAGCAUUAAGUUGGGCACUCUAAGGUGACUGCCGGUGACAAACCGGAGGAAGGUGGGGAUGACGUCAAAUCAUCAUGCCCCUUAUGACCUGGGCUACACACGUGCUACAAUGGAUGGUACAAAGGGCAGCAAAACCGCGAGGUCGAGCAAAUCCCAUAAAACCAUUCUCAGUUCGGAUUGUAGG